Molecule: long non-coding RNA, 536 nt
Organism: Penaeus chinensis
Lineage: Eukaryota; Metazoa; Arthropoda; Malacostraca; Decapoda; Penaeidae
Exons: 4
Source: RefSeq, a predicted model, not a curated record
ACGAGCCUAGUAACAAUCUCCGCAGUUCUCGCACGUCUUCUGGCAACGACACUCGUCCCUUCUGCAGUACUCAGGAUGUCUGAUGAACAACCCGCCGCCGCUCCUGAGGCCGAGGUGCCCCCUCCCUGCCCCGAAACACAAGCAGCCCUUAGCUUAUGCCUAAAGGAGAACGGAGAGGCAAACUGCGCGGCGUUAAUGGAAGCGCAUCAGGAAUGUCUCAAGAAACUCGGUCUUCAGGCGUGAGAAGAUUUCCGGCGCAGCAGAUGACCUCAGGUAUCAACAACGCAGCGAGGGUUAAGAGCGAGCAAUAAAAUUGUCAAACAACGAUGAUCCUCAAAACCAAGUAAUGAAUUAGUAAUCGUCUUAGUCACCAAAUGCUUAUUCUAAAAUCAAAACAUGAAUUUCUCUUAGAUAGAGAUGCAUUUCCGACCACUAUUGAAGACCAGUCGAUUCAGUGUUGUGAUGUCAUAUUGUAUAGCUAGGUUAGCGGUAUGUUUAUAUGAACACAGUCGCUUGUGAAUAAAUAUGAAAAGAUA